Molecule: non-coding RNA, 115 nt
Organism: Triticum aestivum (bread wheat)
Lineage: Eukaryota; Viridiplantae; Streptophyta; Magnoliopsida; Poales; Poaceae
Source: Rfam
GAAGUACUCCCUCCGUUCGGAAUUACUUGUCUUGGAAAUGGAUGUAUCUAGAACUAAAAUACGUCUAGACACAUUCAUUUCCGCGACAAGUAAUUCCGAACGGAGGGAGUAUAUG